RNAcentral lists this ribosomal RNA (197 nucleotides) under uncultured bacterium. RNAcentral's name for it is "partial 16S ribosomal RNA". It matches the Rfam family "Bacterial small subunit ribosomal RNA", at positions 328 to 539 of the family's 1533-position model. The record is from RNAcentral.
ACGCUCGACACCUACGGGGGCAGCAGUGGGGAAUAUUGCACAAUGGGGGAAACCCUGAUGCAGCGACGCCGCGUGAGCGAAGAAGUAUCUCGGUAUGUAAAGCUCUAUCAGCAGGGAAGAAGAUGACGGUACCUGACUAAGAAGCACCGGCUAAAUACGUGCCCGCAGCCGCGGUAAUCUGAGCGGGCUGGCAAGGC